AGUGAACGCUGGCGGUAGGCCUAACACAUGCAAGUCGAACGGCAGCACAGUAAGAGCUUGCUCUUACGGGUGGCGAGUAGCGGACGGGUGAGGAAUACAUCGGAAUCUACUUUUUCGUGGGGGAUAACGUAGGGAAACUUACGCUAAUACCGCAUACGACCUACGGGUGAAAGCAGGGGAUCUUCGGACCUUGCGCGAUUGAAUGAGCCGAUGUCGGAUUAGCUAGUUGGCGGGGUAAAGGCCCACCAAGGCGACGAUCCGUAGCUGGUCUGAGAGGAGGAUCAGCCACACUGGAACUGAGACACGGUCCAGACUCCUACGGGAGGCAGCAGUGGGGAAUAUUGGACAAUGGGCGCAAGCCUGAUCCAGCCAUACCGCGUGGGUGAAGAAGGCCUUCGGGUUGUAAAGCCCUUUUGUUGGGAAAGAAAAGCAGCAGGUUAAUACCCCGCUGUUCUGACGGUACCCAAAGAAUAAGCACCGGCUAACUUCGUG
Molecule: ribosomal RNA, 492 nt
Filed under: uncultured bacterium
Lineage: Bacteria
Description: partial 16S ribosomal RNA
Rfam family: Bacterial small subunit ribosomal RNA
Source: RNAcentral